This 775-nucleotide ribosomal RNA is filed under the name Aspergillus fumigatus. RNAcentral describes it as "eukaryotic LSU rRNA". The stretch from base 554 to 775 matches the Rfam family "Eukaryotic large subunit ribosomal RNA", at positions 1 to 222 of the family's 3401-position model. Lineage: Eukaryota; Fungi; Ascomycota; Eurotiomycetes; Eurotiales; Aspergillaceae. The record is from RNAcentral.
GUCGUAACAAGGUUUCCGUAGGUGACCUGCGGAAGGAUCAUUACCGAGUGAGGGCCCUCUGGGUCCAACCUCCCACCCGUGUCUAUCGUACCUUGUUGCUUCGGCGGGCCCGCCGUUUCGACGGCCGCCGGGGAGGCCUUGCGCCCCCGGGCCCGCGCCCGCCGAAGACCCCAACAUGAACGCUGUUCUGAAAGUAUGCAGUCUGAGUUGAUUAUCGUAAUCAGUUAAAACUUUCAACAACGGAUCUCUUGGUUCCGGCAUCGAUGAAGAACGCAGCGAAAUGCGAUAAGUAAUGUGAAUUGCAGAAUUCAGUGAAUCAUCGAGUCUUUGAACGCACAUUGCGCCCCCUGGUAUUCCGGGGGGCAUGCCUGUCCGAGCGUCAUUGCUGCCCUCAAGCACGGCUUGUGUGUUGGGCCCCCGUCCCCCUCUCCCGGGGGACGGGCCCGAAAGGCAGCGGCGGCACCGCGUCCGGUCCUCGAGCGUAUGGGGCUUUGUCACCUGCUCUGUAGGCCCGGCCGGCGCCAGCCGACACCCAACUUUAUUUUUCUAAGGUUGACCUCGGAUCAGGUAGGGAUACCCGCUGAACUUAAGCAUAUCAAUAAGCGGAGGAAAAGAAACCAACAGGGAUUGCCUCAGUAACGGCGAGUGAAGCGGCAAGAGCUCAAAUUUGAAAGCUGGCCCCUUCGGGGUCCGCGUUGUAAUUUGCAGAGGAUGCUUCGGGUGCAGCCCCCGUCUAAGUGCCCUGGAACGGGCCGUCAUAGAGGGUGAGAUAGUU